AGCGAACGCUGGCGGCAGGCUUAACACAUGCAAGUCGAGCGGGCAUCUUCGGGUGUCAGCGGCGGACGGGUGAGUAACGCGUGGGAACGUGCCUUCUGGUUCGGACUAACUCAGGGAAACUUGAGCUAAUACCGGAUACGCCCUUUUGGGGAAAGGUUUACGGCCGGAAGAUCGGCCCGCGUCUGAUUAGCUAGUUGGUGGGGUAACGGCCUACCAAGGCGACGAUCAGUAGCUGGUCUGAGAGGAUGAUCAGCCACACUGGGACUGAGACACGGCCCAGACUCCUACGGGAAGCAGCAGUGGGGAAUAGUGGACAAUGGGGGCAACCCUGAUCCAGCCAUGCCGCGUGAGUGAUGAAGGCCUUAGGGUUGUAAAGCUCUUUUAGCCGGGACGAUAAUGACGGUACCGGAGGAAUAAGCCCCGGCUAACUUCGUGCCAGCCGCCGCGGUAA
Molecule: ribosomal RNA, 451 nt
Filed under: uncultured bacterium
Lineage: Bacteria
Description: partial 16S ribosomal RNA
Rfam family: Bacterial small subunit ribosomal RNA
Source: RNAcentral